UCGGGCGUAGCUCAGCGGUAGAGCGGCUGACUGUUAAUCAGCGGGUCGCUGGUUCGAAUCCAGCCGCCCGAGCCA
RNAcentral lists this transfer RNA (75 nucleotides) under Candidatus Doudnabacteria bacterium RIFCSPHIGHO2_01_FULL_45_18. Its description in RNAcentral is "tRNA-Asn". It matches the Rfam family "tRNA". From Rfam's summary of the family: Transfer RNA (tRNA) molecules are approximately 80 nucleotides in length. Their secondary structure includes four short double-helical elements and three loops (D, anti-codon, and T loops). Further hydrogen bonds mediate the characteristic L-shaped molecular structure. tRNAs have two regions of fundamental functional importance: the anti-codon, which is responsible for specific mRNA codon recognition, and the 3' end, to which the tRNAs corresponding amino acid is attached (by aminoacyl-tRNA synthetases). tRNAs cope with the degeneracy of the genetic code in two manners: having more than one tRNA (with a specific anti-codon) for a particular amino acid; and 'wobble' base-pairing, i.e. permitting non-standard base-pairing at the 3rd anti-codon position. The record is from RNAcentral. Lineage: Bacteria; Candidatus Doudnaibacteriota.